GACGAACGCUGGCGGCGUGCUUAACACAUGCAAGUCGAGCGGUAAGGCCCUUUCGGGGGUACACGAGCGGCGAACGGGUGAGUAACACGUGGGUGACCUGCCCUCAGCUCUGGGAUAAGCCUGGGAAACCGGGUCUAAUACCGGAUAUGACUCCAUGACGCAUGUUGUGGGGUGGAAAGCCUUGUGCGGCUGAGGAUGGGCCCGCGGCCUAUCAGCUUGUUGGUGGGGUGAUGGCCUACCAAGGCGACGACGGGUAGCCGGCCUGAGAGGGCGACCGGCCACACUGGGACUGAGACGCGGCCCAGACUCCUACGGGAGGCAGCAGUGGGGAAUCUUGCGCAAUGGGCGAAAGCCUGACGCAGCGACGCCGCGUGAGGGAUGACGGCCUCGGU
RNAcentral lists this ribosomal RNA (392 nucleotides) under uncultured bacterium. RNAcentral describes it as "bacterial SSU rRNA". It matches the Rfam family "Bacterial small subunit ribosomal RNA", at positions 28 to 423 of the family's 1533-position model. The record is from RNAcentral.